Molecule: ribosomal RNA, 960 nt
Filed under: Terriglobia bacterium
Lineage: Bacteria; Pseudomonadati; Acidobacteriota; Terriglobia
Description: bacterial SSU rRNA
Rfam family: Bacterial small subunit ribosomal RNA
Source: RNAcentral
UAAUUGGAGAGUUUGAUCCUGGCUCAGAAUCAACGCUGGCGGCGUGCCUAACACAUGCAAGUCGAACGAGAAAGUGGGAGCAAUCCCGCGAGUACAGUGGCAGACGGGUGAGUAACACGUGAACAACCUGCCCUCGAGCGUGGAAUAACACCGCGAAAGCGGUGCUAAUACCGCAUAACAUCGCCGGGACGCAUGUCCUGGUGAUCAAGGGCGCAAGUCGCUUGGGGAGGGGUUCGCGCCUGAUUAGCUAGUUGGUGAGGUAACGGCCCACCAAGGCGACGAUCAGUAGCCGGCCUGAGAGGGCGUACGGCCACACUGGAACUGAGACACGGUCCAGACUCCUACGGGAGGCAGCAGUGGGGAAUUUUGCGCAAUGGGCGAAAGCCUGACGCAGCAACGCCGCGUGGAGGAUGAAGGCCUUCGGGUCGUAAACUCCUGUCAGGGGGGAAGAACACCUUAACCGGUUUGACUGUACCCCCUGAGGAAGCCACGGCUAACUCCGUGCCAGCAGCCGCGGUAAUACGGAGGUGGCAAGCGUUGUUCGGAAUUACUGGGCGUAAAGGGCGCGUAGGCGGCUUUGCAAGUCAGAUGUGAAAGCCCCGGGCUUAACUCGGGAAUUGCAUCUGAAACUGCUUUGCUUGAGUCCUGGAGGGGGUAGUGGAAUUCCCAGUGUAGCGGUGAAAUGCGUAGAUAUUGGGAGGAACACCUGUGGCGAAGGCGGCUACCUGGACAGUGACUGACGCUGAUGCGCGAAAGCUAGGGGAGCAAACGGGAUUAGAUACCCCGGUAGUCCUAGCCGUAAACGAUGGGCACUUGGUGUCGGGGGUAUUGAGUCCCCCGGUGCCGGAGUUAACACGUUAAGUGCCCCGCCUGGGGAGUACGGUCGCAAGACUGAAACUCAAAGGAAUUGACGGGGGCCCGCACAAGCGGUGGAGCAUGUGGUUCAAUUCGACGCAACGC